CCCCGCACCUGUCGGUCCCCCACCUCCCGGACCCCCGCGUGGCCCCGCGUCCUCACCUGUCGGUCCCCCAUCUCCCACCUCUGGGACCCCCGCGUGCCCCCGCGCCCUCACCUGUCGGUCCCCCAUCUCCCACCUCCCGGACCCCCCGCGUGCCCCCGCGUCCUCACCUGUCGGUCCCCAUCUCUGGGACCCCCGCGUGCCCCCGCGUCCUCACCUGUCGGUCCCCCAUCUCCCAUCUCUGGGACCCCCGCGUGCCCCCGCGCCCUCACCUGUCGGUCCCCCAUCUCCCACCUCCGGGACCCCCGCGUGCCCCCGCGUCCUCACCUGUCGGUCCCCCAUCUCCCACCUCCGGGACCCCCGCGUGCCCCCGCACCCGCACCUGUCGGUCCCCCAUCUCCGGACCCCCGCGUCCUCACCUGUCGGUCCCCCAUCUCCCACCUCCCGGACCCCCGCGUGCCCCCGCGCCCUCACCUGUCGGUCCCCCACCUCCCACCUCCGGGACCCCCGCGCCCGGUCCCCCCGCGGCCGCCCCUCCCGAGCUCACCGUGCGCCCCGCGCUGCCCGCGCUCCCCGCGCCCCCCCGGCCCGGCGGGCUGCAGCCGCAGUGAGCUCACAGCCGCAUCGCGGCGACACGGGGAGGCGCGCGGCCGGUCGUCGCCGGCGCCGGGUCCAGGCCGAGGGCGGCUGCCCCUCCGCUCGGCAUUGAGGAGGCGGGAGGAGGGGCGCGGCGAGGCGCACGGGAAAUCUGAUAGAGCAAUGAAAGUCCCUGAAAAAUGGAUGACACUCUGGUCCGUGAAGCCCAGAGUUUGUUUGGCCCAGGACAUUCGAGAAGUGUUGGAAACUGGCAUGCCGUGUGGUGCAGCGGGCCACAGGGAUGACGGGACUCUAGCAAAGAGGCUCAGACAGCCUACCUCUAACACCGGAUCCAGAAUCAUCUUCACACGGAAAGGAGAUUCAGGGCAAUGCCACAUCGCCAACCCCCACCCCCAGCGUGACCCUCCUUGCACAAAGAUAAAGCAAGCUGACAUUGGGGAGAGGGGUGAAGGAGACCCCAGAAAUAUUCAGUGA
RNAcentral lists this long non-coding RNA (1068 nucleotides) under Canis lupus familiaris (dog). Its description in RNAcentral is "lncRNA (ENSCAFG00040023666.1)". The record is from RNAcentral. Lineage: Eukaryota; Metazoa; Chordata; Mammalia; Carnivora; Canidae.